RNAcentral lists this ribosomal RNA (449 nucleotides) under uncultured bacterium. RNAcentral describes it as "partial 16S ribosomal RNA". It matches the Rfam family "Bacterial small subunit ribosomal RNA", at positions 29 to 523 of the family's 1533-position model. The record is from RNAcentral.
AACGAACGCUGGCGGCAGGCUUAACACAUGCAAGUCGAACGCAUCCUUCGGGGUGAGUGGCAGACGGGUGAGUAACGCGUGGGAACGUGCCCUUCAGUUCGGGAUAACCCAGGGAAACUUGGGCUAAUACCGGAUACGUGCGAGAGCAGAAAGAUUUAUCGCUGAAGGAUCGGCCCGCGUCUGAUUAGCUAGUUGGUGGGGUAAUGGCCCACCAAGGCGACGACCAGUAGCGGGUCUGAGAGGAUGAUCAGCCACAUUGGGACUGAGACCCGGCCCAAACUCCUACGGGAGGCAGCAGUGGGGAAUAUUGGACAAUGGGCGCAAGCCGGAUCCGGCCAUGCCGCGUGAGUGAUGAAGGCCUUAGGGUUGUAAAGCUCUUUCGUCCGGGACGAUAAUGACGGUACCGGAAGAAGAAGCCCCGGCUAACUUCGUGCCAGCCGCCGCAGUAA